UCAAGAUUUUCUACCAGAAGAAGUUGUCCAUCAAAAGCUUCCCAGCUCACUCCUACCCUGAGUUCCAGGAAUCUUUAAUCUGCCAUAGGGGGAAAAAACCACGUGGUGACAUGAAUCAUACCUAAGUAACUCAGGGCACUGAGAAAAGAGCUUCCAGACAAGAAUUCUACCACUCUGAGUGUGGAAAAUAUUCAUCAGUGCACCUGAUGCUGAAGCUAUGCCUCAGGCCAUUACAUGUAGCUAUGAGCAGCUACAAUUCAGAAGCUGGAGAGGUGACCUGCAGUGGGAGAGGAACAGAGCCUGGAAAUGUGCAGGAAACCACAAUCUGGGAUGCGGGAAAGGAGAUGAAAUAUUACAGGGAAAAAAAAAGUGGCCUUCCGCUAAUUGAGAAAGUUGAUUGGAUUCAACUUUAUUGGUACUUUUCAAACUACUGAUUAUGUCUGUAUUCUGUUUUUCUUUCUCCUUCAUUUUUACUGUUUUCAAAAUAGCUGGUGCUUUGGAGUCAUUAAUUGGUAGGUUUUAGCUCCAGACUAGGCUGAAGGUUGUAUUGUGCUGAAACCACGUUUGUGCUUUCUGUGACAUGUAGUCCAGUACGAAUGGGUGUGCAUUUCAAAAUGGAGUGCCUUCACUGAUAUUAGCUCAGUUCCAAAGGGUUUACCACCUAAUGCCCUGAUCAGUGGUGUCUUCUGAGGGUCAGCAACUGAGAAUCGAAUUGAGGGAUUUGACUGGAUUUGAUUGGAUUUGAUGGAUUCAGGGAUUGAGAAUGGAACUAAGAUAAGGACUCAGUGAAGAUGUUUAAUAAAAAGUAGGAUGAAGAGAAAAGGGUGACUGAUAGGGCUGCUAUCUUGACAGAAGGGUGUUUUUGGAUGCUACUUUCUGUUAUGUUCGCACUUAGUACAUUGAAAGCAAUAAAUCUUGAUGUAGGCCAGUGUUUGUGUGCCUAUGCAGAAAGAGUCUUCAGAAAGUAAUUGAAUAAAUUGUGUACUACGCAAAGGCUGUAUACAGGGCAGCAUAGAAGAUGCAUAGGCAUGAGUCUGAGAAGGACAUGAAAGGAUGGUUGUAUGUCGUGCUUAUCUUUGAUAUCUUUGAUCGUGUCUGUAUCAGGACUGCAUUAGCACAUUUACAUUGACAAUUUUUAUGAUUUCUCCUGAACAGCUAAGUAUAAUGUCUGUUUUUAUUGUUCAUACUCUGUUGUAUAUGUAUUGUUUGCAACACAGUUGUUCAAACCCCUCACCCUUCUUCCCUUGAAAUACAUGGUACCAAAAAAAUAUUAUACCUCUAAAAGUCUAGAUUUAUUGUAUCUGUUUGAAGCUCCCACCUGGGGGAAUUUUCUAUCAGACAUCUCAGAGAAGUUCUAUUUGUUCUGCCUAGUUUAGCUUUUUUCUACUUUAUGGGUAAAAUGAAAGGACUUUUCUUUUAAAAGCAAUU
Long non-coding RNA from Dromaius novaehollandiae (emu), 1428 nucleotides. RefSeq lists it as uncharacterized. Lineage: Eukaryota; Metazoa; Chordata; Aves; Casuariiformes; Dromaiidae. The transcript is spliced from 3 exons. The record is from RefSeq and is a predicted model, not a curated record.